CCUAACUCCCAAUGUGAUGAUGGUAUUUGGAGGUGGGGCCUUGGGAUAUAAUUAGGGUUAUAUAAGCUCCUGAGGGUGGGGCUUCCAUGAUGAGGUUAGUACCCUUUUCAGAAGCGAUACCAAAGAGGUCUUUCUCUGCCAUGUGAGGACACAGCAAGAAGGCGGCCAUCUGCAAGCCAGGGAAAGAGUUCUCACCAGGAGCCAAAUCAGCAGACACUUUGAUCUUGGACUUCCAGUCUCCAGAACUGUGCCGGUCACCAAGUCAGCCUCAAUCUUUCCAACAGAAUCGUAGAACUCCCCUCAGUCUGGAUAAGGACAUCGAGGAAGCUAUCACUCUCCUCUUUUCUAAUUGGAUGCCUCUCUCCUCCUGCUCCAAUCUGGACUGGCUGCUCUCUCCGGUGGCAUAGCUGUCAUCCAAGAUUUCUCUCCACCACCUGAAGCUGCUGUCUCCUGGAUCCCAUGUCUCCUGUCUUCAUGGUUUUCUCCCUUGUCUCGGUAGAAGAACUCAUGUGGUAGCUUUCUGGGUACACAAGAGAUAACACUUUGGAGAUCAUUUAUUUCUGAAAAUGCCUUUAUUCCACCUUCAUCUUUGAUUGAUCGUUUGGAUAUGGAAUCAAGAUUGUACCAAACAAAUCCCAGAAUUCUCUGAGGGCUUGUUUCUUGGGAUCACUCCUGGUACUAAUUCCUAUAUCAGCCAGGAUUCAGUUGGAAAACAGAAAUCACAUUACUUAUUUUAAAGAGGGAAUUUAAUAUACAGAAGGUUAAAUGGGUGUUGGAGAACUGAAGAGGGAAAGGAGAUACGAAGGUAACACAAAGACAAUAACUGUGGGAAGCAGCUAGCAUAUGGGCAACAAGGGAAGGAGCUGGGAUCCUUCGAACCCUGAAGCUUGAAGCAGGAGCUCCAUGGUGCUAAGAUCCAGCCCUCAGGAGAAGAGGUGUUGCAGCCAGUGCUGAGAUCUCUGAGAGGUAGCAUGAAUUGGUUCUGGAAUUCUAGAGAAAUGAAAUACCCAAAGCCUAGAGCCUGAUCCACUGCCUCAGCCAGGGGAAGGGCUGUUACAGAGAUGAUGCUGAUAGGCAGAGAAGGAAACAGGAAAGAGCAUGUCCUUGUCCCUUCUCUAGACUUCUAGUCUCCCUUUAGGCCACCUACUGACAGACUGUAACAGGAAACCAGCCAUCAAAGGAGAAACUUGGUUGGCAGAGUCCCAGUGUGGGUGGACAGGGCUGAGAGGCAAUGGUUUAAUAACUGGCACAGAGUUUUCCAACUCCUAGUGUUCCUAGAAGUGUUAGGAUCUUCUCUGGAACCUUGGUGUUAUAAAAUUUCCCAUGAGGCCAUGUGGGGUGGGUUUUUCCAUCAGUGAUUUCAAUGAGUUAGGCCUUGGUGGGUGUGUUAGAUCUGGAAAUGCUACUUAGCUUUAGGAAAAUUUCUUACAUUACUUCUUUGGUAAUUUUAACCCCUCCAUUUUCCUUGUUUAUCUUUCCAGGACUCCUACAAUAUAUCUCGUGUACGUCUUGGAUUGAUUGUCUAAUUUCCUUAUAUUCUUGCCUGAUGUUUCUUAUCUCUUUUUCUUCUUGUGAUGCUUACUAUGAGAGUGUCUCAACUUUCUGUUCUAACCUUUUACGUUUUUAAACUUCUGCUAGCAUGCUUUUAAAUUUGCAAGACCUCUUUCUUUUUUUUUUAAAGAUUGGCACGUGGGCUAACAACUGUUGCCAAUCUUCCUUUUUUUAUUUAAGGAUUGGCACCUGAGCUAAAAACUCUUGCCAAUCUUUUUUUUUUUUUUCCUGCUUUAUCUCCCCAAAUCCCCCCUGUACACAGUUGUAUAUCUUAGUUGCAGGUCCUUCUAAUUGUGCAAGACCUCUUUCUUAAAUAGCACUCUAUUCAACAACAAAUAGCAGUCUGUUUUAUAGAUCUUGAUCUUGUUUCAUUGUUUGUUAUAUCUGUUAUGCUAUAUUGAGUAUGUUUAAACUUUUUCUUCUAUUACGUUUAUUAUCUUUCUUUGUCUGUCUUUUAUGUUACAAGCAUUCCUCAAGUCUCAGUAUGUGUUGACUGGCCUUACAAAGGACGAACUGCUCAAAGGCUGAGUGGAAUAGCUGUGUGUGGGCAGGGCUCUCUGAUUGCUGGACGCCACUAUAGGAUAUUCAAGUAAGAAUCUGGGUGAUUUCUUGGUGAUCAAACAUCAAUAUCUCUAGGUGUUGUUUGGUCCCUUCCCCCUCUUUGGACCUCUCAGCUUCCUCAGAGAGGAGCUCUUUUGUUUCCAGGCUGUAUGCCUGCUUGCCACUUUUCUGAGGGUUAACUAGGGCAAGGUGGAGGAGUGGUGCCCACCAUUCAUUUUCUAGACUCUUAUCAAUGCCCCUGUGUUCUAUGCAAUGUCUCAUUCCUGCCCAUAGCUGUGCCUGGUAUUCCUGUUUCCAGAGCUUCUUCAUAUAACCUGUGCAGAGAAUAGUUCUCCCAUCUUCUGCCAGGGUGGGAGAUGGCAACUUUUGGCUGUGCAGGCUCGGGGAGGAGUCCUAGGUGUCCAUCUACCCACUACACAGAUUUCCAGCCAGUUCUUCUCUUUCCCACCCCCACCCUCCCUCUGGCCUUGGGGGUUCCUGCUGCUACCAACUGCUGAGGCUUUCAAGCAUCCUUCUCCCUCACGCAGAGAGACAUGAGGGCUCAUCUCUUUUGGGCCGUCUGUAUUGCCCAGGCGGGACUGAAAACCCUCAGGCCUAGCAACAGCAUGACACAGGCCUGUUUUGAUUGGAAAAGACACUGUGGAAAGUUUGCUAAGCACUUGUCCUAAUGCGGUGAGAAGGAUUUGUGAAAUAAGCACUCCUGGGGCCCCCCUUUGACUCCUCUUUACACUGUCACUCAGGACAACAGGGUGUGGGCAGGUCCUUGACCAAUUAUGUGCUCCCCAUCACGUCCUUCCUGUCCUGCUUGAAGGACCCAGAUGACCUCAUGUCCUCCACGAAGGCUUCCUGACUAGUGCGGUUCACACUCCCAACUUCCUUUCUGGCUCUAACCGUCCAGGGUUCUGAUCCCUGUGCUUCCCUGGGACAUCUCACCUUGCUGUCUAGUGGAAUUUAUUCAUCUUUUUCAGUGCUUACCCCUUUUGCCCCACAUGGAUGAUGGCACUGAAUUGCACUUGUUUAUGUCCCCCUGUUCUGUGCAGAGUGUCUUCUCAUACACACACACACACACACACACACACGCGUGCGCGCACACUCACAGAAAUCCUCCCAUUACCUUCAACCAGCAGUUAUUUGAUUAUGAAUGAAUAAUUACUGAAGGGAAAAUGAAUAUCUUUAUACUUUUUUUAAUAGUUUAUUUUAUUUUAUUUUUUUGUGGUUUUUUUUUUUUUUUUUGAGGAAGAUUAGCCCUGAGCUAACAUCUACCGCCAAUCCUCCUCUUUUUUGCUGAGGAAGACUGGCCCUGAGCUAACAUCCGUGCCCAUCUUCCUCUCUUUAUAUGUGGGAUGCCUACCACAGCAUGGCUUGCCAAGCAGUGCAUAUGUCCGUACCCAGGAUCUGAACGGUCGAACCCCGUGCCGCCAAGCGGAAUGUGUGAACUUAACUGCUGUGCCACCGGGCAGGCCCCUCUUUAUACUGUAUUAAAAAAACCUUUGCAUCUUUAUGCCACUUAAUUCUCACAACAACUGGGGUGGAGGAUGUGUUGCACCUUUUUGAUAGCUGGAAACGCCGAGGCUCAGAGAGGUGAGGUAACAUGCAGGACUUGCAACCGGACGUUCUUUCUGAGAGCCACGUAGUCUUUUUAUUUUGCACAGAAUAUUCACAGCAGCUUUAUUUGUAGUAAGCCAGAAUGGAAACAGCCAAAGUAUCUACUCAUCCAGAGGUGAAUUUUGACAAGUAAAUUGCAGUAAACAAAAAGGAUCAAACUAUGGGUACGCACAACACAGAUAAUUCUAAAAAUAAUUAUACUGAAUGCAAAUCCAGACAAAAAAAACAGUACAUACUGUAGGAUUUCAUUUAUAUACAAUUCUAGGAAAUGCAAACUAAUGUACGGUGACCAUGAAUCGUGUGGUGGCACGGGGAUGGCAGUGAGAGUCGAAUAGCCUUUGCCACAAGCUGUAGCUGACUCUGUCCCCAAAGGAGGCUGGCAGGGCACACACUCCAACCCACUCACAGGGGAGAAGCCUGGCCCCCAGCAGCAUGGCCAGCAGGUGAGAAGAGCUGCGACAGGACUAGGCUGAACCCAGGUGUCUAGUCUCCCAGGCUACUUAGACCCCACUUCCUUUCAGACGAGUGUGGAAUUGUUUUGUCAUAAAAAUGCAAGUGUAGUCAUAAAACAUGUCUUUGUGGGGGGAAAAGUCCCCAGGCCUAGGAAUGUGUGUUCGUAUAUGUGAGACAAGCUGAGACAGGUGUCUCUCUCCCCCUCCCUGGCCCCGAGGCCAGCACGGCCAGGUGGUCCCAUGCUAACCUACAGCACGAGGGGAGCCCCGGCCGGCCAGCGGCAUCUGAUACCCUCCAUAUCAGGCUUAGGACGCUUUCCAAAAGGCUUUGCAUUCCCUGGGUCAAGAGCUCUUUUUUGUUUUUUGUUUUUUUUCGAAAAACAUGUGUAUUUCAGCAGAAAUUUAAUCCCUGGGGUUCCAACUCCUUCACACUUACAUCAGUUAAAAUGGCAUUUCUGAAGAGACAUGUGAUCCUGCAGAAGCCCCAGAGACUCAGCUCAGCUGGGUGUCCCUUCUUGUUUCUUGACCUCAAAUGAAAAAAGAGGAAGUCACGUUUCUUUUUCAAAAUGAUCUUGACAAAGUCUUUCCUUCAAAUUGGGCUGCACUGAAUCCUUCUCUCUCACGGAUUCUUUUGCCACAUUGUCCUAUUGCUUUGCCUGAUGGAAACAGCUGUCAAACCUUAGGCUGUGGCCUGUGGGCCACGUCCCUGAGUUCAAGCUGCCGGCUCCUCGGGAGAGCUGAGCCGAGGGAGGCUGGGCCUCUGCAUGAGGCUUAGACAAGUUUUAGUUCUGGAAGGACCCUAGAGGUUAUCUUUCGAUUCCUUAUGUCCCCUUCUAGAGAUGAGGAAGCUGAUGUCCAGGGAGGACGUGCCUCCUAGGAUCACACAGAUAACCCCUAGGGAUUCCCAUCUUUUGAGAACCUAAACUGCCAGACAUUGUGCUAUAUGUUCUGCAUGUACUGUCUUACUUAUCUGCUCAGUUAUUCAUUAGUGAGUCCUUGUUAUCCUCGUUUCGCUGAUGGGAGAAUUUGUCCAAGGCUGUGCAGACUCCGUGGCAGGAUGGAGAGCAGAACCCUGUGCCCGUGUUCGUUGCUUUCAACAAGCGUACUAUUCUGCUCCUGCAGGAGGUGGAGGGGGGUUGGAGCCAGGAGCCAGGGUUCCCAGCACCUGUCCUCUAAUGUCUUUUGUGAUUUUGACCUUAAGAAUAUUUUAUAUAAUCACUAGACUUCAGUAUGUAUGUCUAGUUCCUAAAACCUUGAAUCUCUUUUCUCCCGAUUUUGGUGUUCUGAGAACCAGUACUAGGUGAUGUUGAUUUAGCUUUCAACACAAGUGUUUUCUUUCUGCUCCACCCUGGCCUUUCCAUACUUCCUCCCUCUUUGUCUUCCAUCUCUUGCUGGCACCUGAUUCUCUCUUCCCUUUAGAAACAGUUUUCAAGAAAAGAUCUACUAUUGGUGAUUGAUAACUCAGUAUGAACUUAAGCCCAUCAGGACCUCUUGUAGGAGAAUUUGUCUUACCUCUGAUGGUGGAAUGGAGAGAUUUUAAGGAAGAAGGAAAAAAAGCAAGGAAACCAUAUUCACUGGCAGGUAUUUUGUGUCAGGUAUUGUGCUGGAUUCUAUUAUAUAACUUAUAAAAUGCUUCCCCACUUUCCUCCCUCUUUUUACAGGUCACUGAAGCUUACAGACGUUAAAUAACGUACCCCCAGUCAUCAUGCAAUGACUUCUAUCUGUGGGAUUCUUUCCACUAUACCAUGAACGAAAAGGGGAGGAUUUGAGGGUGACAAGGUUGGGAGGGAGGGGCUUCUCUGUGUCCUUGAAUCAAUUGUGAGAGGCUGACCUCUACUGGAUCGUACAGCACUUGAACACCAAAAGGAAGAAAUAGUUUUCCUAGCCUCAAAUGAUUUUUUCUCACAUUUUGGAGAGGAAUCUGUUUAAAAGGUAUGCCAAGUGCCUACUACUUAGAAAAUACUGGACUAAAUGCCAAGGUAAAGCAAAUAGAAAUUGAUUGGACUGUGUAAGUCACAGCAGGGAUGAAAGGCACACCUCCUACGCCCAGUGUGCUCAGCUUCACCAGGGAGGUAUCUCCAAAUAGCACAAGUUCUCUUCCAGAGGAACCGGAAGACCCAGGUCUUGAAAGAAGCAGCCCUUCUCUGGGUUUACACUCCUCAUAUUGUAUCCCAUGUUUUAUAAUAUGCACAUCUGCAUUGCGUCAUUAUUUUUGUCCCAUUGUCCAUUUGUUUUGUGCAACAUUGGUUCUUUAAGCAGCCAUGUUCACUGAGACUCACAUAAAAUGGGUCUGAGAUGUAGAGAACUGCCUCUUAUGAAUGUUUUAUUUACUUAUCUAUCAUUCUUAUCAGUGGCCUUCUCCCCUGUCUCUGGUUACCUUUUUCACUUAGCUAGCCAACUGAGAAUUAGAUGAAGGAUGGAAAUAGAUUGGCAGUUUGCCUUCAGCUGCUAGACAAGGGUUCUUUCUUUCUGUGGUUUAGUUUCACAAAGGGUUUUGUAGGCAUUGGAAGUUUUGGUACAAAGCAGCGCGGCCUAAAGGCUGCAGCCCAGAAGGGCGAGCGAGGAGGUCAGUGUCCUUGUCUUCAUGCUGCCAGCUUUGGAUGUGAUGAAGUCACUUAUAUCUCUUGUUGCCCCUUUUUUGUAUUUAGAAAAUUAUUUUGAAUUAUAGUAGAUUAUUAUGAUUUUACAUUUUAUUUGAAAAUAAGUUCUAACUUGAGAAUGUGUCUACUGGAGCUGUAAGCGCACAGCCUGGAUGGCAUCAUCUGGCAGCUCACAAUCAUGUACAAAAUCAUUCUGCAUAUAAAAGAAGCAAUUUGCCAUUAAUUUAUAAUGUUUUUAUUGUGCUUUUCUUAUUGCAAAAGUAUUUCAUGCAGAAAAUUUGAAAAAUACUGAUAAGCAACAAAUAAAUAUAUAAAAACCACUUGAAUCUUGCCACCUAAAGAUAUCCACUGAUAACAUGUUAUAUUAUUCUUUAGGCUUUUUAAAUGCAUAUUUUCACAUAGGCAGUAUUAUGCUGUUUACAAUGUUUUUUGAACUUCUUUUUCUCUCAAUAAUAUGUCUGAAUAUUUUUCCGUGUCAUACAAUCUUCUAGAAUAUCAUAUUUCAUGGUUGUGUAGUAUUUUGUCAUGUAGAUAUAUCAUAAUUUAUUUGACUGUACCUUUUUUUAGGGACAUUUAAUUUAUAUCCAACAUUUUAUCAUUUUAAAUACUUCUGUCCUAAAAAUCUUUGUUGCUAAGUCUUUGUGCGUAAUCAUACUUUAUUCUUUAGGAUCAAAGUCUAAGGGUACAAAAAAUUUAAGGGUUUUGAUAUUUGUUGCCCACUUGACCCCAAGAAAGUUGUCUCAACGUAUACUUCUGUGCAUUGAAUCGCCCCUGGGACAAUAGCAGAUGAUAGAUUAUUUUAAUGUUUUGCCAAUCUGAUAGAUUAAAAGUGUCACAUAUGUAUUUAAAUUUCCUUGAUUAUUGACAUUGAACAAUUUUUGGACUUUUACAAUAUACUUACCGAUUUUUUUUAUCUAUAAAAGCUCUUUAUUUUAAUUUGUAUGUAUUUACAUAUUUAAGUGUCUAAAGCUCUGGAGACAAACUGCCUGGGUCGAGCCCGAGCUCUGUCGGGUUUGGUUGUGCUUACAAAGGCCUACCCCCAAGACUACAGGAAAGUUAACUUCUAUUUUUUUCAGGUGCUUUUAAGUCCGAUUUUCUACAUUUCUACAUUUAAAAACCUACGAUAGUGGCCGUGCUGGUUAUUCUCCCCUUUUCCCUCCAGAUCCGCUUCCUAUCCUUUCCAGCUGCUCUGUGCCAUAAGAGACUGAGGAACGGACUGCCUCAAUGGGCUGACCUGCCUUCUGGCUUUUGGUUGGGUCCAGGCAAUGGCUAGCAGUGAAAGGAAAGGCGGAGAGUGGACUAUUAGACUAUACAGAGCGUCAUGUGCUGGGCUGGAGAGUUCGGAAUUAAUUCUAUACCUAGAGGGAGACUGAGAGGGAUUUGACGUAGGGGAGGAAGAUCAAAGAUCAAAGUGCAAAGUAGGACAGUGAAUUUGAUGGCCCUGGGAAGCCUUGAGGAAGGCUGAAGACAGGAAGCCCCAUGGGGACUGCUGAGGUUGCAGCUAUGACGCUGAACUGGCAGAUGUUGACUGUGAGUGAGGAAAAUAAUAGAGACCUGAUUUAAGACACAUUUCCAAAGAAAAUGAACUGGUCUUCGGGGUGAAUAUUUUAAGUGUAAGGAAAUGAGUAGUGACACUACUGUGGUAUCAUUUCUAGCCCUGGCGAUUGCCUUUCUUGAGUGACAUCCCUCAUGGAACUUUGCAGGGGGAUCCCACUUGGCAGCUGGUAAAGAGAACAACCCCCUGCGUCAUCAUAUUACUAAAGCCACACAAUAUUUCUGCCCUUUCUCUUUUCUCUGGUUUCCAGGCCUUGGAAUAUUAUAAUUUCUUGAAAAGUUAUACUUAAAAUAACAACGACUAACUUCAUUGAGUACCACUCCCCCUCCUUUUUUUCUUAGUACUUACAUAUUAUCUCAUUUAAUAUUCUUGUUCCUAGUUAGCCUAAAUGUUAUUGCCUCAUUUUCAACUGAAAAUGCUAGUUGGGAGGGAGCAUGGAAUAGUGAAGAGCACGGGCAGGGGUCAAGCAGAGCUGGUUCCAAGCAAAAUGGGGCAGCUCUGUAUGUAUUUCCUCCUAGAGAUUCCCUAGCCUGCUCAUGUGUUGUCCUUUGGUAACUUCCUUAUCCCCUAAAUACUUUCCUUGAAAAUCUGAUUUCAUCUGGGUAAAGUAUAUGAGAAGGUAGGAAGGAGGGAGAAUUUAAUUACUUUGAGAGAGAUGGUGGAUUUGGCUGUCUUUACUGUUGGUGUUACUUUCUCUUAGGCAUUUUUCAAAAUAAGAAUUUUGGUCUAAUAAUUUAGCAAUGGUGAUUGUGUUGACUGUUCACAAUGGAAGAGACUUCAGGUACUAUAUAAUCCAAUCUCUUCAUUUUGCCCACAAGGACACCAAAAUUCAGAUGCCCCUCUCUAUCCCCUUGGUCUGUUCAACACCGGAAGUCUUUUGGCUUCCAUUAAAUCUAUUGGUGCCUGGUAAAAGGUGACAACCCUCAUCAUGAGCCCCGGGGCACUCCUCCAGCCCGCUGGUGAUUUCUGCAUGUUGACAGCACCUAUUCAGAUUUUAUAUUUGCUUUGUUGGGUGUUGAUUUUGAUGAGGACUAGAACCUGCUGGAGGCUACGUAGGGCGCAAAGAUGAGCGCAAGUGAUCUUUGCUCAGUGGGUUCAAUAGGCGAAAUGGAGGAAGUACAGCUGUGACCUGUGGGACAACAAGGCAUGAUUUUAUCUGGAAAGGUCUCCACAAGUAGCAGAAAUUCGGCAGGAUUAACCCAUUUUCAGUAGAAAAUGCUUUCAGGACAGGAAUGCUAUUCACUUUUCCUUGGUUUUAGAUUUUCCUCUUUGUCUUUUUCUCCAUUCUCCAAGUUUUCUGUCAUGAACGUCUUACCUUGGUCUUCAGAGAAAUUUAUUUUAUAUGUAUUUAUCUGUAUCUAUAUCAUAAUUUCUAAAAGAAAUAAAAUGCCUGGAGGAAGCAGCUCUGAAAACUCUGUGGGGAAUUUUGUGGGGAAGAUUGUAAGGGAAGCCCUGAACAACAUUUCCUAAAGUGCUCAGUGGGAAGCGAUCUUGGAAAAACCCUUCCUUGGCCAAAUACACUUGGAGUGAUGUGCUCCAGCCCCUUCUUGGACACUUAUAAUGCCCAUUAAGGGCUCUGGAACUUUCUGCAGGAAAAUAAAAUAAAACAAAACAUAAAAUUUUGUCUUAAUUCUUUUAAGUCAGUGUUUCUAAACAUAUUUGAUUUGAGACUACUUUUUGUGUCUGAACAUUCCAACAAGACCAGUAUUUUGUGAAACAUACUUUGGGAGAGUGCCCUAAAACGAGUUCCACAGAAACUCUGUUGCAGCCCUCGGGUCUCAGGAUAAACCUUCUAGAGCCUGCGGCAAACGAAACAGUGAUGUCUCUUCUCUCCUCUAUUGGUGUCCAGGUGAACACCACUUAAAGUGAACAUUAGAGCCUGGCUUUAAGUGGAAAAGAAGUCCCAAAACCCUGCAACGUGGAGUAGAAGAGGAGGUGUCUUAAUGGGGGAGGCCAGACUUAUGGCCUCUUGGCUGGGGCUGCACUUACAUUAGUGUAGCUGGGAGGGCCUCUUCGCUUCUUGGCAGACUUCCCAGGUUGCUGAUCCGGAGGCUGGCUGCGGCUGCUCCCCCAGCCAGGAGGGGGCACCUCUCUUCUCUACUGGAGGUGCAGAGAGAUGAAAUCUGCAUGUGCUCUGAGUCCAUGCACACGCAGCAUGUGUACAGCACUCUUCAGGGCACCCUGGGACCACUAAAGGAGACAGUCUCACUCUUACCUUACUGAGCUAACAAUCUAGUUGAGGAGAUAAGGCACAUACACAUGGAAUGUCAGAAAAUGUAAGGUGACGAUUGUGGACUUUGUCAUGUGAUAUAGAUUUUAAGGAAUUGCAUGCAUUUAGAGGAGAAGAGGGCAUCAGUCAGCCUGGGGUGAUCAGGAAAGCCUUAGCUAUAGUAUGGGAGGUAGGGCCGGAGGAAUGAAUAGAAUUUGAAAAGAUAGGGACCAGAGGGGAAGGCAGUCAUGCGGGGGAAAGGCCUGAAAGAAACACAUGAUUUGUUCAGGGACUGCAUUGCCAAGUCCCUUUAGGAAGCCUCAGGCCACUCUGAAAGGUGCCACACUCAGCAGGAUUUUUCAGCAUUGUAGACCUAGGCAUCUCCUCCAUGAGUUCUCCACUAGCUACCCUUGUCUCUGGUAUGGCGGCCAUCGUUGAGUAGCCCGUCCAUUAUGCUCAGUUACUGGCUUGCUCUUAUGUCCUAUGGGUACAUCGUGUUUCCUAGUUAGGCCUGUGAGCUAACAUGGCAGGCAUGAGCACAACAGUCUUAUUCUCUGCUUCCCCUUCCUUGCCUACCCAUCUACCCUAAGCAUGUCACCCAGUGCUUGGCAUAGCUCAUGUAUUCAGUAAAUGUCUGUUGAUGGAUCCGUUGGAUUCUGAAUAAAACUUUUGCUUAGGUGUACGUCUAUGACCUCAUUAUGUCAUCAGUGAGUGUUAGUGUCCCCAUUUCAUUAGGCGUAGAAAAGGAGGACGGAGGACCAACACACUCCGAUGUUGCGUAACCUCAGGUAGUUAUAGGGCUUAGUCUAAAAUCUAAUUCUCUUUUCAGGCUUAAGAGUCCUUUGUUUGCGCAACUCAGUGUAACUGUAAACAUUUGCUGAGUCCUGUCCUCAGUCUAGUUUGAGGGGUGUGUGUGUGUGUGUGUGUGUGUUUAUAGAGGCGGGAGGGGAAGAGGAAGGAGAAACUGCAAAGACGAUUGGGAUGUAGUUCUACCCUCAAGAAGCUUACAUUCUAGUAAAAGAACCAGGGAGAGCACUCUCACCUGUAAAGGAGUUGGAGGCCAGCUUUUCGGGGUGUAGGGUAUGAGGGGACAAUUCAGUUCCUUGCAGAUUGUCACAUAUUGUUCAAGAAAGAUGAGUUGGGGUCUCUUCUGUCGCCGUUUUUCUUGUUGAUCCUGACUACCCUGCCAGCCACCUCGGGGGGUUGUUCCGCCUCCCCUCCUGCCCUGGGGCAAUGACUGGCAGUUUCCCCAGCUGUUUGGCAAUUCCAGAGCAAGCCCUGUAGCUCCAGGCACAGUCCACCAGAUGGUGCAAAACAAAUGAAACACCCGUCAUUGUGGGCUAUCCAGCUUAUCAAACCCGAAAUUGGACAGCUGAGGGGAGGACUUUCUGGGAAUUUUCCACUUCUGAGUUCAGCCAGAAAGGAAUGAAAAUGUACCCUGGAGACUUGAAUAGAAGGUUUGAAGUAGCUUUAGGGAUUAAAACCCUGUGCAUGUGUGUGUGUAAAGAGGUCUUAUACAUAGGCAGAAAGGAGGCGCUCGCCUCCACAUAGUCUGGGCAACCUCCUGCCCUCAUCCCAAACGCUCUUCUACCUCUCGGCUCAGGGCUAAGCUUCCACUCCAAAAAAUUGUAAAGGACUUCAGGUGUUAAUACCCUAGGGAGAAGUAAUGAUGUCUUGUGUUUGUUUAGAGCCUUGCAUGUACCUUCAGACCUAUUAUUUCAUUAGAACUUCAUAACAACCCUGUGAAGCAGGUGAUGUUGUUAUAGUCAUUUUAAAGAUGAGGAAACCGAGGGUCAGAGACAGUCAGAGAGUCCCAAGGUUAUACACCCGGGGCAGUGAGCUGCUGGAUCAAAACGAGAUCUUCAAGUGUUGAAUCUCUUUCUCUUUUCACUCCACUAGGCUGAAUUCUCUGUUUUAAUGAUUAGAAUCCAAAUUUUUAAAAAGUAGAUGGUGAGGGUGAGAAGAAGGAGAAAAGUGGAGGGAGCUGAGCUCUUGAUAGAGGAGAGAAAGGGCAGUGUAAGGCAGGACUUGGAGCUCACAGGCAAAAUGUGCUUCUCCAGGUCCUCUUGGAGUGAUUUUGUGUGUGUGUGUGUGUGAGAGAGAGAGAGGGAAAGAGAGGCAUACUCAUGCAUACUGGAGCACAGAGUGAACAUUACCUCAUGUGGAUACCUUUUUAUUCAACUUGCUUGCACUGGACUCCUACCGUAGCAGUGAGAUAUACUAGAAAAUCAAGUUUUAAACAGGAAAAAAUAGAAAAUAAACAGAUGAAAGCGCCUUCCUUGUUAAAUCAAGGUUGUACCAAUACCCCAAGAUGGUACAGUGCUGGGCCCAGGAAACAUGGUUUCCCUGGCCUUUCCUGUCUCCUCUCCAAGCUGUCUACCCACUUCGCCUCUUGGUGUCCACAGAAUCAGCCUGGGGUGAGCCCAUUGUCACAUGCUCUGCACCUCUCAUUCUGGCCUUCCCUUCGGCGGAACCUGAGAGAGCGUCCCAGCCCUCAGAGCCUGCCAAGUGACCAACAGAUCCUUUUGAAUCAUCUAUACUAAAUACAUUAGCAAAUGGUAAUGUUUUAAUGUGUAGCUCCUUCUAAGAACACAGAAGCUAAGAUUUUAUUUUAUUCAAAACUUUAUACACAAUUUAAAACAAAGCAAUAUGGAGGUUUCAGGCACUGAUGUUGGUCAGGUCUUCAAGCUUCCCCAAGACCUCUCAGAACCCUGCACACCUCACCAGCUGUCUGCACAGCUGGCCGUGGAGUCAGCCCUGCAGUCUGCCCGUUGAGAUGUUUUCUGGUGGGGGUCGUAUCUAACCAGGCAAAGUCAUUCCUAUCUUCUUCCUUCUUUCUCAUUUUAGUGCCCUGGGCUAGCUGAGACUCCCAGGACAUCCAACCUCGAUUAUCGCACUAAUCUUCUUAUUGUCCCUUUCUCUCCAGCCUCCCUGUAUUCUCAUCCUAGAGGUGGCUGACAGAAAAUUUUUUAUAAAACUCAAAUUGGACCAUUUUGCUUUCCUUCCUAGAAAUCUUAAAAUGUUCCCCUAUUUCUCUUUUUUUAAACAACAGCUUUAUUGAAGUAUAGUUCACAUGCCAUAAAGUUUGCCCAUUUAAAUUGCACAAUUCAAUGUUUUUUAGUAUAUUCACAGAGUUCUGCAGCCGUCACCACUGUAGGGACUAAACUGUGUGCCCCUAAAACUCAUAUGUUGAAGUUCUAACCCCAGUACGUCAGAAUACGACUGUAUUUGGAGACAGGGCCUUUAAGCUAAUUAGAUAAAAUGAGUUCAUAUGGAUGAACCAUAUCCAGAAUGACCGGCGUCCUUAUGGGAAGAGGAAAUUAGACACAGACAACCCACAGACUGAGGGGCUAACACAUCAGGGCACAGAGGCCAAGGAGAGAGGCCUCAGAAGAAACCAAACUUGCUGACACCCUGAUCUUGGGCCUCCAGCCUCCAGAACUGCGAGAAAAUCAAUUCCUGUUGUUUAAGCCCCUCAGUCUGUGGCUUUUGUUAUGGCAGCCAUAGCACACUAAUAGAAGCACAAUUUAAUUUUAGAACAUUUUCAUCAUCCCAAAAAGGAAAUGCGUACCCAUUUUAGUCAUUUCCCACUUCUCUCCACUUCUCUUAGGCCUAGGUAAUCACUACCUACUUUCUGUCCUAUGGGUUUGUCUAUUCUGGACAUUUCAUAUAAAUAAAACCAUACAAUAUGUCUUUGUUUAAACUGACUUCUUUCUCUUUGCGUAAUGUUUUCAAGGUUCAUCCAUGCAUAGGAUGUAUCUAUAAUUCGUUUCCUUUUAUUGCAGAAUGCUGUGGACAUACCACACUUUAUCUAUCCACUCAUCAGUUGAUGGGCAUUUGGGUUGUUUCCACUUUUUGGCUACGAAUAAAUCUGCUAAGAACAUUCAUGUACACGUUUUUUUUGUGUGGACAUAUGUUUUUAUUUUUCUUGUGAUUUUACCUUGGAGUAGAAAUGCUGGGUCAUAUGGUAACUUUAUGUCUAAUGUUUUGAGGAACUGCCAAGCUGUUUUCUAAAGUGGCUGUGCCAUUUUAUACUUUUAUCAGCCAUGGAUGAGGUUUCCAAUUUCUCCACAUUCUUGACAAUACUUGUUACAGAUUGUCUUUUUGAUAAGAGUUAUCCUUGUGGGUGUCAAGUGAUAUCUCUUGGGGUUUUGAUUUACAUUUGUCUAAUGGCUAAUUUUUGUUUUGAAUAUCUUUUCAUAUGCUUAUUGGCC
Molecule: long non-coding RNA, 14747 nt
Organism: Equus caballus (horse)
Lineage: Eukaryota; Metazoa; Chordata; Mammalia; Perissodactyla; Equidae
Source: Ensembl